This is a non-coding RNA of Physcomitrium patens, 4301 nucleotides long. The record is from RefSeq and is a predicted model, not a curated record. NCBI's taxonomy places the organism in Eukaryota, Viridiplantae, Streptophyta, Bryopsida, Funariales, Funariaceae.
CUGCGCUUAGCCGCGGUUUAUUUAUGGGCGUCAGUCCAAAUCAGAAAUCUUUUCCGGCGCUCUCUCAGGAUACCCCUUGGCGUUUCUUCAACGCGGUGCCGCGGUAAGGGUGAGACGGGGUGUUGGCUUUUGCGUGACCUCUUCGGUUCCGGAAGUGGUGAUCUUGUGCUGUUCCUCCUCGUUGUUGGUGUUGCUUCGUCGUGGGCAUCUUGUGGUUGUCGAGCUCGUCGGUUCUUUGUCUCUCGAUGCCGAUCUGAUGGUUGAUUCUCUUCGCCGUCGGUUCUGCUUCAAGGUGCUGACCAUGUUUCGUGUGGUGUUCCUCCCUUGCUGAUCGUGUUCUUCUUGCUCUCUCGCUGAUCCUCGCGUCGGCUCUCUGCUUUUUACCCGUGUAUUCUGAUAUCCAGCGUCACCGUGGAUUCCUCGUUGUCGUCGUUCUUAUUCAAGUUGCGGAGCUUGUUCCGAGUUGCCGCUGCUUGUUCUCCUGGUCCUGUUAGUCUUUGACUCUGCUCCGAGCUGCUGGUGCUUGUUUUUUCCUCGUCUUCUGAGCUGCACUGUCACCCUCACUUCCUGGUCUCCCCUACAUAGCAAACCGUUUUGCUCACGCUCUGCGCUCAGCUCCUAUCGCUCCGGACCGUCCCAACUCGCAUCGCUUCACCUUGUAUUCGGGCAGAGACGCAACGUGGUGGGACAGCUAACAGAGGAGCAGUGGAUCUCUAACUCGUGAAUUUGAACAUAUCGAUUGGAGAUCUCAGUCUUGCCUUGACUGCAAUCAUCGCGAGUGUAACGGGAUGUGCGCAGAAGAUCGGUGGAUCAAGAUUGUGGAGUCUCUUAUUCUCGCCGUCUUGGUACUCAUUGCUGGAGGCCUAAGCGAUCCGUUCAGUUGUCAAGUGGAACGACGAAAGCGUGCAGUGUCUUCGCUCACAUCUUCACUGUUGACACUAUAUUCACAACAUGGUGGUCGCCUUGAGAUGAUUUUAGAGUUAUCAUAGCUGAACUGACGCGAGUGCUGCCAUGUCUGGGCGACCUUUCAUCAUGGAAGGUGUUGCUCUUUUUCAUUGAGGUGUUGGCAGAAUCGUGCAAGCGUAGGGAGGUGCAGGUUGCAGUGUGUGUGAUCUGUGGCGCAAUGAGAGCUCAGACAACGAAUCAACUGGGGCAACUGACCAGUUAGAAUUUGGCUGAAUCAGGCGGAGCCUACCGAGUCGGAGCUUGAAUUAGACUCAGAACCGGUUGUGCUCAACGAAAAUUUGAGGAUCAGCAUCAUGAAGGUGUUGCUGUGAUUUUAUCAAUUCUCAGAAGGCAAGUGAUUCGAGCGUUUAGCUUUUGAAGUCCAUUCUGAAUCUCUGCAAGUUUAUGAGUUCAUUGUGAUGUAGGUUAUAAGAUGACUAAAUAAAUAAAAUAGAUAAUUAAAUGCAUAAUAUGAAAGAAUAUAAAUGAAAAGAAUGUUUUGAAUACAAACUACGCACAAAUAAAGAUUAGAUAACAAAUAAAUAAAUUAACACUUGUGAAUAAAUAAAAUAAUAAACAACAAAACAAAAUAAUAAGUAGGCAAUUAAGUGCAUGACAUUAAAAAGCAAAAAUUUUACAAACAAAUUAUACAUAGAUAAAUUUAGAUAAAGAUAAAAUAAUAAAAAAUAAAAAUAUUUAAUAUACAAAGAUUCUAAUUAAUGAAAAGAGAAAAAAUAAAAAAUGACAUCAUAUAUGAAAUCAACAUAAAUAGCCAAAAUAUUUAGUAAUGUUAAUAUCCAAGACUAAUUAGUAAAAUAUAAAGCAUUAGAAAAAGUAGGAAAUUCACCUAAUUAUAAUGAUAAUGUGAAUUAUUACUAAUUAAGAUAAAUCAAAAUAACUAAGUCAACUUGAAAAUGACUAAAAUCAAUUUAUGUAACCUAUAGCAAUGGAAAAAUAAUUUAUAUAGUUAGAUAUAUCUUUUAAGUAAAUAAAUUAAUUAAUUGAAUAACUAUAUGAUUAAUUUAAAAUGAAUGAUUAAUAAUGAUACAAUAUUCAUUAAACUUCACAUUAUGCUUUAUUAAUAUGUCUUUGAAAUAUAUCUUCAGAUUCUCAAGCGCGGAUUUAAUUUUUUGAUGCUAAGUCUUUAAAAAGAUGGCAUCAAUGUCAAUGGUUUGGUCAAAGGAGAGUGCAGAAGUACCCAAGUCUUUUCUUUUGGAUGGUGGAAUAAAGCCAAAGGGCAUUGAACAUGUACAAUAAUAUCAAAUGUACAAAUCUUCAAUGUUAAAAGAAAUUACAAAUAAAUAUUUGAUAGAUACUUGAAGUAAUUCUUGAAAUACUACAUUAACUAUGAACAACAUUGAUCCAUUGUAAAUAUAGUUGUUACACCAAGUUUCUAUUAUGUAAGCUUUUUUUCAAGUUUUGUUUGUGCAGAUCAUUGAUGGAGUCUACAAAUUUAGUGAAUCUUCUAAAGAAGUUGCAAUGACAGUUGAAAUUGUGUUCAUUCAUGGAUUACAAAUAUUUGAUUAUAAAAAUACAUAUUGAAAAACUUGGAUGGCUGGAAAAGAUUGUAAUGAAUUAUGUUGGCCAAUGAAAUAGUUAGCAGAAGACUUUCCUAAGGCUUGGAUAUGGUCCCUUUCUUAUGAUUCCUCAGCGUGGAAGAAAAGUGAUAGAGGAAAUAUAGAUGGCUAUGUAGUAGUAGAGACUCUAGUACAAGAGAUGGUUGAACAUGUUCACAUAGAUCAACAAAGACAUCCUAUUAUAUUUGUUUGUCAUUGUCUUGGAGGUUUGAUGGCAAAACAAAUAGUUUUAUUUGCUCAUAACCAACUUGGGAAGAAUCCAAAGUAUGUUAAUUUUCUUGAAAGCAUAAAAGGAUUCUUAUAUUACUCUACACCUCAUGAUGGCUCAUUUCUAGUUAAUCAUAUGAAGUAUAUUCCAAAUAUGGAAAAGAUGGAAAAGGUGGUUGCAUCUUUGGAGGUUAUUAAUGAUGAUAUUGGUCGUUUAAAUGCAUCUUUUGAAUACAUUGAAAGAGAGAAUUAUCCCAACAAAUGGAAUCAUUUUUGUAUUGGAGAAGCACAUGAGACUGCAAUACCACAUACAAAGUUUUAAAAGAAGAUUGUUGAAGAAGCUUCUGCACGACAUGGAUAUAAGUUUAUUCUUGCUCCAACUGAUCACUUUGAGAUAUGCAAGCCAAGAAAUAAGACUUGUAUUAGUUACCUUUGUUUGACUAAUCUCAUUAAAGAAGUUACAAAUGAUUUUAUUGAAAGUUGUGCCAAUGUUUUAAAACUUCCAAGUAUAUUAGUACAAGUUGAAGACAAAUUACAAGAAGUAUGGAAGAUGAUGGAAGCACACUCUAUUGUUGGAUUGGUUGGAAUGGGAGGCAUUGGAAAGACAACAUUAUGUAAGUACCUAUAUAAUUAUGAGAAAAGAAACAAUCAUAUAAGACAUCAAUUUGAAAAGUUUACUCAAGGUAUUUAUAAGAUGGAACUAUUGAAUGAAGUUGAAGCUUUAAGAUUAUUUUUAUUUUAUACUUUCCAAGGAGCUAAUGACAACAAGUGCAAACAACUUAAUGAUCAAGUAAAGGCUAUUAUCAAGGCAUGUGGUGCAUUGCCUUUGAGUCUUGAAGUAAUUGGACAAUACUUGAAGAAAUAUAAUUUGAAAGAUAUUGAUGAACGAAAGGAGAUAUGGAAAGAGGCAUUGAAAAGAUUGGAAGAAGCAAAGCCUUUUGACGGAUAUAAUGAUGAUGAGAUGUUAUGGAAAAGGUUAAGAAUUAGCUAUGAUAAUCUAGCUAUGGAUGAAAAAAGUAUAUUUUUAGAUUUUGCUUAUAUCAUAUGCGAAUUAUAUAAAAGUAAGGGAUUAAGGAUCUCUAAGGAUUGGCUAGCACGAAUUUGGAAUUCAACUAUUAGGAUUGAAAAUCUUGAAAAUAUGUCUCUUAUCAAAUGGAAUGAUAAAGUAAAUGGUUACAUGAUGCAUGAUCAAUUACGGGACAUGGAUCGAGCAAUUGAAAGAGAAAAGCCAAAUCUAAGUUGAAUAUGGAAGAAAGAAGAUUGUCUAGAAGUUUUAGAAUAAGACAUUGUAAGCAAUUUGUUUUAAUGUUUAAAACAGAUGCAUUUAUAAGAAUACUAUUAAAAGUGAUUAGAUUUGAUAUGAUAAAGAAUAUACUUUUAUUAACUAAUUUGAUUAUUAAUGUGACAAUAGUUAUAUAAAUGAGGAUUGUUUGACCAAAAUGUGUGGUUUUGUAGAGUAAUACAAUUAUAGAAGGCUUAUUAUUAUUUAAAAUUAGAAAAUUAGAGUUUUGUCAAUAUCAAAAGCAUGCAAAAAGAUAUUAUGAAACAAAGCAAGUAAACUACUUCACAAAA